Molecule: ribosomal RNA, 253 nt
Filed under: uncultured bacterium
Lineage: Bacteria
Description: partial 16S ribosomal RNA
Rfam family: Bacterial small subunit ribosomal RNA
Source: RNAcentral
GACGAACCGUGCGAACGUUGCUCGGAUUCACUGGGCUUAAAGGGCGCGUAGGCGGACUCGCAAGUCUGUGGUGAAAGCCCCCAGCUCAACUGGGGAAGUGCCGUGGAUACUGCAAGUCUGGAGGAGGGUAGGGGCAUCUGGAACGCUGGGUGGAGCGGUGAAAUGCGUUGAUAUCCAGCGGAACUCCGGUGGCGAAGGCGAGGUGCUGGACCCUUUCUGACGCUGAGGCGCGAAAGCCAGGGGAGCAAACGGG